Long non-coding RNA from Carassius auratus (goldfish), 313 nucleotides. RefSeq lists it as uncharacterized. The transcript is spliced from 3 exons. NCBI's taxonomy places the organism in Eukaryota, Metazoa, Chordata, Actinopteri, Cypriniformes, Cyprinidae. The record is from RefSeq and is a predicted model, not a curated record.
GCCAACUGCUGGGGGAAGAGGCGGGACAUGAUCUCCUGCAGCAGCACUGUGUUGUUGUACUUCCUGUUCUUCAAAUACUGGAAUAGGAAGUAAUGCGUUCAUCCUCAUCCUCAGGCGUGGGGAGGAAGGACACGGCCUGACACAGGCUCAGACAGCACUCGCCGCUGGUGCCGUGCUUCACUUUAGUUGCAUUCUAGGACAGCACAGGAAAGAGCCUGAGCUGUCAACAUCAUUAGUGCUGUGCAUAAACACUUCACCUGCGCGGGAUCAGUUUGACCUUCAGCGUUGUUGUGGGAGUAGCGCUGACCAUCUG